AUGGAGGAGGAUGAUGAAGAUGGAGGACAGGAGCACCAGCAUCCACAGCAUCCUGAGGAAACAUCAACAGAGGACAGAGACUUCUAUUCACCAAAACAAUACAGGAGCACCAGCAUCCACAGCAUCCUCAGGAUGAAACAUCACCAGAGGACAGAAAGACUUCUAUUCACCAAAACAAUCAAUAGUUUUGCUUCAGAGGAGAAUCAGACAGUUCCAGAUGUUCGUCACCAGCACUGCAGUGUUUACACAGACUGCUUUGGUUUCAACUUUCUACAAAAAACUGUUGAAUUUUCAGCUCAUCUUCAUCACUGAGAUGUUUCUUCAUCAGUUCUUCAUACAGACUGACACAGCUCACACAUGGAGAAGAUGAUUUAUGGAAUAUGACAUUUAGAUUUUUCCUUUUCUCAACAGUAUGAUGCAUACAUCCCAACCCAAAUUUCAUGCAUUUUUUUGGCGUAACUUGAGCCAAUUUCUAUCAAUAAAUUGCUAAUGUAUUAUUGUUAUUGACUAUUA
RNAcentral lists this long non-coding RNA (513 nucleotides) under Gouania willdenowi (blunt-snouted clingfish). RNAcentral's name for it is "lncRNA (ENSGWIG00000006455.1)". The record is from RNAcentral. Lineage: Eukaryota; Metazoa; Chordata; Actinopteri; Blenniiformes; Gobiesocidae.